This is a non-coding RNA of Saimiri boliviensis boliviensis (Bolivian squirrel monkey), 883 nucleotides long. NCBI's taxonomy places the organism in Eukaryota, Metazoa, Chordata, Mammalia, Primates, Cebidae. The record is from RefSeq and is a predicted model, not a curated record.
CAGCCAGGAGCAGAGAGCAAGGGACGGAGAAUGUGAGCGAUUCCGCCAGAGACCGCCAGGGGGCGAGCGACUAACGCUCGGCCGCGAGCUCCCCGCUCCCCGCGCUGCGCCCCAACGGCCAGCAGAGGGCGCGCGCCUGGCGCGGAACCCAACCGCCGCCUCCAACCGGGCAGGACAGGACCGGGCGGGACCGGACGGAGGUUUGGGUCCAAGCCCGGCUGUGUUUGCGGCGGGUCCGGGGCUUGGAAAUCGCUGGAGCGGCGCCAAGAACGAAAGUGGGAAAUGGUCAUCGUCGUUAAAGCCCCAGUCCUCGGGGAGCAGACCCCUGCUCUGUGGCAGUGCCGUGCGCCUGGGAGCUGCGUGGACCAUUCGGCAACGAUCACUCUCGGCCCUGCAUUGGCCUUGACCACAGAACCCGGAGGCACAGGGAGAAGCCUCCCCUGGAAGCCGGCGAGUUGACUUCAGCGGCUGAGACUGUCCGGGAGAGCCGGGAGCACCGCAUGCUUCCUGCAGAUGGCGGGCAGGCCUGUGCGCAGGAGCACCUGCGUCCCUGAAGGGGAUCUCCGUGGCGCUACCUGGUCCAGGCAGGUCACAGAGGGCUCCUCAGCCCUGAGCGCAAGAAGGUGCACCAAGGACAAGAUUCAGCACCGUCACGCCAGAACAGCUACACGGAGCCACAGGUCACUUUCCAAAGAGGCAGUUUCCAGGCCAGAAGCCACCCCUGCAGCACUGCUUUAUGCUCCAAGAGAAGGCCCAGCACACAGCUCUGCUCCGAUGGAACCACUGUUCCCUCAGUGUCCUUGUCAGCGCCAGGUGACUUUCCGACCCAACCCCUCCCUCCCUCUCUGCCUGGUUUUCUCCAGGUGCCGUGUUUGCCUGAAAG